Molecule: ribosomal RNA, 443 nt
Filed under: uncultured bacterium
Lineage: Bacteria
Description: partial 16S ribosomal RNA
Rfam family: Bacterial small subunit ribosomal RNA
Source: RNAcentral
CCUACGGGAGGCAGCAGUGGGGAAUAUUGGGCAAUGGAGGAAACUCUGACCCAGCGACGCCGCGUGAAUGAUGAAGUUCUUCGGAAUGUAAAGUUCUUUUCUAAGGGAAGAAGAAAGUGACGGUACCUUAGGAAUAAGCCUCGGCUAACUACGUGCCAGCAGCCGUGGUACUACGUAGGAGGGAAUCGUUAUCCGGAAUGACUGGGCGGAAAGGGUGCGUAGGGGGUUCAGCAAGUUUGUAGCGUAAUUCCGGGGCUCAACUUCGGCACUACUACUAAAACUGUUUGACUUGAGUGCAGGAGGGGCAAGUGGAAUUUCUAGUGUAGCGGUGAAAUGCUUAGAUAUGACGAAGAACCCCGAUUGCGAAGGCAGCUUGCUGCAGCGGAACUGACGCUGAUGCUCGAAAGCGCGGGUAUCGAACAGGAGUAGAUACCCGGGUAGUC